This is a long non-coding RNA of Pseudophryne corroboree (corroboree frog), 380 nucleotides long. RefSeq lists it as uncharacterized. The transcript is spliced from 5 exons. NCBI's taxonomy places the organism in Eukaryota, Metazoa, Chordata, Amphibia, Anura, Myobatrachidae. The record is from RefSeq and is a predicted model, not a curated record.
GAGCCGGCCAGCUCGUAGAUCGUUGCGUUGCGUGCUGUGACCAAGGAUCUCACCUUCGGUUCCCUGAUGGAGUGAAGGUGUCAUGGGGUGCUCGGAGCUCACCCUUAAGGAGGGGAUACUGUUAUGAACCACAGGUGUCUCUAUUGUUUUCUUUGCCGAAGUAGGCCUUUUUUGGUUGCCAUUUUGUACACAAGUUUGCAUUUAUUUUCAGAGCAGGUGUCUAUUGUUUUCUUUGCCGAAGUAGGCCUUUUUUGGUUGCCAUUUUGUACACAGGUUUGCAUUUAUUUUCAGAGCAGGUGUCUCUAUUGUUUUCUUUGCCGAUGUAGGCCUUUUUUGGUUGCCAUUUUGAACACAAGUUUGCAUUUAUUUUCAGAGCAGGU